Molecule: unclassified non-coding RNA, 208 nt
Filed under: uncultured Eurotiomycetes
Lineage: Eukaryota; Fungi; Ascomycota; Eurotiomycetes
Description: sequence contains ITS1
Source: RNAcentral
CCGAGUUAGGGUGUCGCCUCGGCGCGCCCGACCUCCCAACCCUGUGUCUACUUAACCUAUUGUUGCUUCGGCAGGCCCGCCCUUUCUCACGAACGGGCCGCCGGGGGUGGAUGUUCUCCCCCCUGGUCAGUCGCCUGCCGAUGGCCUCAACCAUAAAAACUCUUGUGAACAACCGUGUCGUCUGAGUAUUUAUCAUAAAUAAAACCAA